GGAGAGGUGUCCGAGCGGUCGAAGGAGCACGCCUGGAAAGUGUGUAUACGUUAAUAGCGUAUCGAGGGUUCGAAUCCCUCUCUCUCCGCCA
RNAcentral lists this transfer RNA (91 nucleotides) under Gammaproteobacteria bacterium. RNAcentral describes it as "tRNA-Ser". It matches the Rfam family "tRNA". Rfam says of the family: Transfer RNA (tRNA) molecules are approximately 80 nucleotides in length. Their secondary structure includes four short double-helical elements and three loops (D, anti-codon, and T loops). Lineage: Bacteria; Pseudomonadati; Pseudomonadota; Gammaproteobacteria. The record is from RNAcentral.